This 95-nucleotide small RNA is filed under the name Pedobacter zeae. Its description in RNAcentral is "Flavo-1 RNA". It matches the Rfam family "Flavo-1 RNA". Lineage: Bacteria; Pseudomonadati; Bacteroidota; Sphingobacteriia; Sphingobacteriales; Sphingobacteriaceae. The record is from RNAcentral.
AUCUAAACCUGAUUGACGCGAAAAUCCUUUUUUGCCGCAUUGAGCGCAGUCGAAGUGAAAGACAAAAAAGAUUGUAGCAAAAAGCAGGACGAAGC